This 440-nucleotide ribosomal RNA is filed under the name uncultured bacterium. Its description in RNAcentral is "partial 16S ribosomal RNA". It matches the Rfam family "Bacterial small subunit ribosomal RNA", at positions 338 to 795 of the family's 1533-position model. The record is from RNAcentral.
CCUACGGGUGGCAGCAGUGGGGAAUAUUGCACAAUGGGGGGAACCCUGAUGCAGCAACGCCGCGUGGGUGAAGAAGUACUUCGGUAUGUAAAGCCCUGUCAGCAGGGAAGAAAAUGACGGUACCUGACCAAGAAGCCCCGGCUAACUACGUGCCAGCAGCCGCGGUAAUACGUAGGGGGCAAGCGUUAUCCGGAUUUACUGGGUGUAAAGGGAGCGUAGACGGCAAGGCAAGUCUGGAGUGAAAGCCCGGGGCCCAACCACGGGACUGCUUUGGAAACUGUGUUGCUGGAGUGCAGGAGGGGUAAGCGGAAUUCCUAGUGUAGCGGUGAAAUGCGUAGAUAUUAGGAGGAACACCGGUGGCGAAGGCGGCUUACUGGACUGUAACUGACGUUGAGGCUCGAAGGCGUGGGGAGCAAACAGGAUUAGAUACCCGGGUAGUC